AAGUCGUAACAAGGUUUCCGUAGGUGAACCUGCGGAAGGAUCAUUACAGGGUUAUGCCGAGCAACCUUUUCAGCUUCUCUCUGAAGCCCGGAGGGGCUCUGGCAGCCACGAUCAUCCACUGUGUGCACCUUUUGUAGAUUGGAAACGUUUCUCGAGGCAACUCGGAUUGAGGACUGCUGUGCGCAAGCCGGCUGUUCUUGUGUUUCUCAAUCUAUGUUUUCAUAUACCCCAAAUGUAUGUAUCAGAAUGUAUUGUUAGGCCUCUGUGCCUUUAAAUCAAAUACAACUUUCAACAACGGAUCUCUUGGCUCUC
This 312-nucleotide unclassified non-coding RNA is filed under the name Clitopilus prunulus. Its description in RNAcentral is "partial internal transcribed spacer region". The stretch from base 1 to 46 matches the Rfam family "Eukaryotic small subunit ribosomal RNA", at positions 1786 to 1831 of the family's 1831-position model. Lineage: Eukaryota; Fungi; Basidiomycota; Agaricomycetes; Agaricales; Entolomataceae. The record is from RNAcentral.